Long non-coding RNA from Haliotis rufescens (red abalone), 304 nucleotides. RefSeq lists it as uncharacterized. NCBI's taxonomy places the organism in Eukaryota, Metazoa, Mollusca, Gastropoda, Lepetellida, Haliotidae. The transcript has 3 exons. The record is from RefSeq and is a predicted model, not a curated record.
GCUUUAGUUUCUCUGGUCAGCUUACUAUCUAUUGUGUAUGUAGUUUGAAAGGUUUCUGUCCGGCAUAUCCUGUUGGCAGUCAUACACAUUUAUUCGAGGAGGUCACUUUGAGUUAUAUUUGAUCGUUUUCCUCAAUAUCAGCCCCUUGCUGAUUGUGGAUGUGGAACACUGUGUGCAUUCAUGGAACUCGAUAUUUGUGUAUUGAGGAUUUCAUUAUCCAGAAUGAUGUGACCUUAACCAACCUUGAACGUUGCUGCGAACCACUGAGUUAAGCUCAUUGCCACACAGUGGGUUUACUAUGAUU